AUGGGGUACAGACCUGUCUGGCCAAGCUGGUGGGGGGAUGUCUCAGCAACCCCCCAUUUAAAGUGCCAUUCUAGUCCAGGUGCUGAGGAGGGAGACCCGGAGGUGGCAGAGAAACACUCGUCACUGUCCCAUUUUGUUUGUGUAGGCCAUGAAGCCAAGAUAAUAAACACAGCGUGUCCGGGAGCCUCCCCCAGGACGGCUCUGGGAUUCCCCCAGGAAGAGCCCUCACCGCCAUUCCUUCCUGCUCCCCCCGUGGCCCUCACUCCUUCCUUCUGGAUGGGGGCCCACGGGGAUGAGGUGGGUAUAAAGGGCCGGGGGGAGAGUGCCCAGGCACAAGGCAUUGUGCCACUGGGACUGGGCGACAAGACUCACGGUCAGGAGCCUUGGGACUCACCAUCCAGAGGCCAUGCUGCUGGGGCUGACUCUCGGCCUCCUGUGGAGCGCCACCUGCUGGGCAGAGCAGAUGUAUGGGGCCGGAGGAGGCACAUAUUUCAGCACCUCCAGUGACUGUGAAAUCACCGGAGUCCGGGUGGCCGUGGAUCUCAUUGGCCUGGUGAAGAGCAUCCAGGGACCAGUG
This 577-nucleotide long non-coding RNA is filed under the name Mustela putorius furo (domestic ferret). RNAcentral describes it as "lncRNA (ENSMPUG00000025399.1)". The record is from RNAcentral. Lineage: Eukaryota; Metazoa; Chordata; Mammalia; Carnivora; Mustelidae.